CAGGCACAAUUGAAUCCGGAAAAUUUUUUUAAUUUCGCGGUCAUUCCUCGUCUCUGGGUGGUCUUAACAACAAGUUUGUUCUCCUUCUACUAGAUGGAGAUAUCCAUGUAUACAAUCCAAUCCUAAACAAACUCUACAAUCGCUCACUCAUUCGAUGUCUGCUACUUGUACAAGAAUGCAUGGCAGGCUGUGAUAAGAGAAACAAAUUACCACAGUAUUUUACUCAGGACGUCAAAUAUGCAAGUGUGUUACGAUGCCGCUGUGUGACCACUUUACUAGGAGGUCAUUCGAUCGUCCAGGAAAAUUUUUAGUUUUCAUCACCUUAAUAUGCAGUUUGACGGUGUUUGUGAAUACAUUAAGAAAUCGCUAUGCAGAUUCCUCGCGACAAGAAAGAUAUCGAACCUACUUACACGAAAUGGACGCCUUACAUCCUCGUAUGGAUCAUAUAGAAGAACACUUGUACAGGGACCUUGAUGAAAUGGGGAGACUACACAGUUUAAUGGGAGCAAAAGAUCCUCAGUCAAAAAUAGCCUCCGAGGAUGACACAACAAAGAAUAUUAAAGGUAAAAUAGGCUUUUAUAAUUUUUCCAACACUGACUUGUGGGCUGUUUGCCUAAGAAAUUUCAUUGUCCGUUUUCCUACUGGUUUUCUGUACUGACCUAAUUCCAAAAGAGUAACUUUAUCCUGAUGUUCAACUGCACCAUAUUUUAGUUGGAAUGUGCACAGUGCUUUUAAUGGAUGAACUAAUUUAUCAACAAUGCUUUUGUCUGUUUCCAUUAUAGACAUGGCUAAAGCUGCUGACUCAACUGUUGAUAGGCAGUAUUCAGAUGGCUGAGUCCUGAUGACAUACAAACUGGGACCCAGCUCUGGCAAGGAAACCUGUAAAGUGUUAAUAGAUAAAUAAGUUUAUACAAAUUAACAGAAACAUUUUAAUAGUUAUAUGCAAUAACACUAAUAUGUUUCUACAUAAAAAUGUGCUUUAUCACAGUUUGAACAUGUUUUAUGCUGCACUGUGAUGUGAUUUACCUAUAAUUGUAUGAAAAUACAACUGUCAAGCUUAA
Long non-coding RNA from Daphnia pulex (common water flea), 1061 nucleotides. RefSeq lists it as uncharacterized. The transcript is spliced from 2 exons. Lineage: Eukaryota; Metazoa; Arthropoda; Branchiopoda; Diplostraca; Daphniidae. The record is from RefSeq and is a predicted model, not a curated record.